Molecule: small nucleolar RNA, 73 nt
Filed under: Kryptolebias marmoratus (mangrove rivulus)
Lineage: Eukaryota; Metazoa; Chordata; Actinopteri; Cyprinodontiformes; Rivulidae
Description: Small nucleolar RNA R38 (ENSKMAG00000008506.1)
Source: RNAcentral
CAGUGCAUGUGAUGAGUUUUGUUAUCCCUGUCUGAAAUCAUUCUGUGGAAAUCAAUGUGAACCUGAACCACUG